GGGAACGUAGCUCAGAGGGAGAGCGCCAGACUUACAUUCUGGAGAUCGCAGGUUCAAAUCCUGCCGUUCCCA
RNAcentral lists this transfer RNA (72 nucleotides) under Candidatus Buchananbacteria bacterium. RNAcentral describes it as "tRNA-Val". It matches the Rfam family "tRNA". From Rfam's summary of the family: Transfer RNA (tRNA) molecules are approximately 80 nucleotides in length. Their secondary structure includes four short double-helical elements and three loops (D, anti-codon, and T loops). The record is from RNAcentral. Lineage: Bacteria; Candidatus Buchananiibacteriota.